Molecule: long non-coding RNA, 304 nt
Organism: Rana temporaria (common frog)
Lineage: Eukaryota; Metazoa; Chordata; Amphibia; Anura; Ranidae
Exons: 3
Source: RefSeq, a predicted model, not a curated record
AAGCCCAAGCGCUGUGUUAGGCGCUCCAGCUGAGACCAGACCUAAUUAAUGCAAGGAAAGGCUGCUGUAUGCACAGCUAUCUAGGUGGCUCUGCCUUUUCAUCUUUGGACUUUGUCCUAAUCAGAGCGGAUGCCGCUUUUUGAUCAGGUUAUUUGAGGGGCUGUGAGAGUGUCUUCCUUCCCCUUUAUCCUCUUUCAAUCCAUAUCUAUGGCAAACAUUAGACUGUUUCUACUGACAACAGGCAUUUUUGCUUACUAUUGACAGAUUAAUUCUAUUAAUGGCUUAAAAUCCUGCUGUGGUUCUC